GGGGUAGCGGAGCAGAGCACUCUGGUGGAGGCGCGUAGCGAUUCUGACGUGCAAAUCGAUCGUCCGAUUUGGGUAUAGGGGCGAAAGACUAAUCGAACCAUCUAGUAGCUGGUUCCCUCCGAAGUUUCCCUAAGGAUAGCUGGAGCCCGAAGCAUUUUUAUCAGGUAAAGCGAAUGAUUACAGGUAUCGGGGAAGAAACUUCCUCGACCUAUUCUCAAACUUUAAAUAGGUAACAAGUCCGACUUGCUCGAUUUGAAGCCGGACACAGAAUGCUGGGUUACUAGUGGGCCAUUUUUGGUAAGCAGAACUGGCGAUGCGGGAUGAACCGAACGCCGAGUUAAGGUGCCAAAGUCGACUCUCAUCAUAUCCCACAAAAGGUGUUGGUUGAUAUAGACAGCAGGACGGUGGCCAUGGAAGUCGGAAUCCGCUAAGGAGUGUGUAACAACUCACCUGCCGAAUCAACUAGCCCUGAAAAUGGAUGGGGCUUAAGCGUCGCACCUAUACUCGGCCGUCGGGGCAAGAGCGAGGCCCCGACGAGUAGGAGGGCGCGGUGGUGGUGAUGCAGCCUUUGGCGUGAGCCUGGUUCAAACCGCCGCUGGUGCAGAUCUUGGUGGUAGUAGCUGAUAUUCAAAUGAGAGCUUUGAAGACUGAAGUGGGGAAAGGUUCCAUGUGAACAGCAGUUGGACAUGGGUUAGUCGGUCCUAAGAGAUAGGGUAACUCCGUUUGAAAAGCGUGCAGUCCUCACGGUGUGCACCGUCCUGUCUGAAAGGA
Molecule: ribosomal RNA, 771 nt
Filed under: Ircinia strobilina (black-ball sponge)
Lineage: Eukaryota; Metazoa; Porifera; Demospongiae; Dictyoceratida; Irciniidae
Description: eukaryotic LSU rRNA
Rfam family: Eukaryotic large subunit ribosomal RNA
Source: RNAcentral